CCCCCCACAGCCACCUCGUCCCAAAUCUGCAACACUUUUCCUUCGAAUCACUGCCGAAACUCCUCGAAUCUCAAAUCGAAAUUUCGAUACCAAAAUCCUAACUACUCCAACCCGCCCCAAUAACAACUUGUAGUCCUUGCCCCUACCUGAACCUCAAACCAGCCUUAGCCCCCUCGAAUCAACCCCAAUUUGGUCGAAUUUUAAAUUUCAAAUUCCGAAAAAAUUUCUUCGCUUGGUCAGUGUUUGGAACCUAUGAACCCAGACAUCCAUUAGCUGGUUGUUUUUGUUAAGAACAGCUAGUUAAUGGCUGUAUAAGUUACCGCCUCGUUCAAGAAUUUUCUUCAACUGACCCGGUGCAAAAUAGCAUUAGGUAACUUCUGUUAAUUUUAUUUUUAGUUUCUUUUCCAUUAUUAGUUGCUUUCUUUCCAUGUUUAAAGGUUCUUGAUUAACAGCAUGUUUUAGGGAUAAUUUUAGAUUUUUUCUUUUCCUUUAUUCACGACUGCUUGUUUGAUUGUCCAUUCCAGAAAAUUAAUUGAAGCAUGUUUACAUUUCAGCACUCAAUUGCAUGAUUUAGUUUUAGGCUUCUAUUUGUUUAAAUCAAAAAUUUAUCAUGAAAUUAGUGCAUUUUAGGCUUUUGUUUUAGGGUUCAGAUGCUUAGAAUUCACGGUGUAAUUUUGCUUGUUUGAUUUGUCUGUUGAUUAGCAUGUUUGUUUGUGUUGACCCUAGAUUAUAAAUCAAUAGAUACUUAGAGGGGUCAAAUGAACAAAAAAACUUAAUGGGUCAUAACAGGGGGUGGUAAUCCUGAAAUAGGAUAAGGUCUAUGCUGAAAAUGUUCUAGAAUAGAGGCAGCUAGUCUCAUUUGGUCAGUACAAAGUAUUGAAACCAAUGAGGGGCAGCCAACUGUCCAUUUCUGUUAAGAAUAUUCCUUUUGUGGCUGAAGGAAUAAUUCGUUUAUUCGUAUACCAUAUGGCAUUCUAUAUGCCUAUAUAUAGUACCUCUCACUCACUCUGAAGAAGACAAUCCUUUUAGCAAUCAUCAGCACUUUUUAGCAUCAUUUUACUGCACCAAUGCUCCCUUUUCUUUUCUGAAAAAGAUUAGAUUCCAAAAAAACUUGACAAAAACUUCAAAAAUUAUUUUCUGAUUCUUUACAUGCUAGAGGAUAAUGGUUUGAAGUUGGGAGUAUCCUUCUUAGGUGUUUUGUUUGGGAUUCCUAGGUUCAAGUUUUUUGGUUUUUGGGUCUGAAAUUUUAAUUUAGAUGUGGACUGUUGUAGUUGUGUUUUUUGUUGCUACUUAAUUCCUGUUGUUGUUCCUUGUUCUUUACAAGUGUUUUCAACCAAUACUAUCCUAUUUUAGCACUCGCUAGUUGUUAUUGUUGUUUGUUCAAGGUAUUUGAACUCAACUUUUCUUCAUGUAAUGAGCUUUUGUUAAAAUGGUAUAGGGAUCAAAAGUUGCAAGUUACCUGUGAUGAAUGAUUGUUCUUUUCAUGUUAGUAUUCUGACUGCAAUGAUGUGUAUCCCAGUUAUUUGAUACAAUGUGAGCUCAAAGCUUGAAUCAAUGUGGUGUAAACAAGUGAGGUAAUAUAUGUUUGUUUAUCAGUCAUCAUUCUAAAAAAUGACCAUAUUUAAAAAUUCUAUAUCUAAAUACUCUAUUUGAAUAAUGAUGAUUCUGGUUCUUAGAGUCAUGUUUUCCCCUUCAUUUUCUUCUAUUUAAAUGCAUAACUUGUUUACUUGAUGUCACCUGAUGUUGGUUUGCAAAUUAUGAGCUGUAAUAGGUGAAUUUGGCCAAAUCAACAUGUUAAAUGGCUGACAAUUGAAAGUUUGUUGUUGGUAGAUAUUGUGUUAGACUCAUUUCUGCUCUUGUUCUCUUUCUGAUUGACGCUUUUUUUUUAUUUUGACGUCAUUGGUCUCUAUUUGCAAUCUACUAGCCAAUUUCUACAGAUUUGAGUCACUGGUUGACCAAAUCAAUAGGUUCCAAGGUCAUAAGUCUAAAAUUUCUAUUGUUUGAACUUGCUGAAAUUUAG
RNAcentral lists this long non-coding RNA (2020 nucleotides) under Nicotiana benthamiana. Its description in RNAcentral is "long non-coding RNA (NBEN_LNC012708)". Lineage: Eukaryota; Viridiplantae; Streptophyta; Magnoliopsida; Solanales; Solanaceae. The record is from RNAcentral.